RNAcentral lists this ribosomal RNA (465 nucleotides) under Vreelandella stevensii. RNAcentral describes it as "partial 16S ribosomal RNA". It matches the Rfam family "Bacterial small subunit ribosomal RNA", at positions 338 to 795 of the family's 1533-position model. Lineage: Bacteria; Pseudomonadati; Pseudomonadota; Gammaproteobacteria; Oceanospirillales; Halomonadaceae. The record is from RNAcentral.
CCUACGGGGGGCUGCAGUGGGGAAUAUUGGACAAUGGGCGAAAGCCUGAUCCAGCCAUGCCGCGUGUGUGAAGAAGGCCUUCGGGUUGUAAAGCACUUUCAUUGGGGAAGAAAGCCUUGGGGCUAAUACCCUCGAGGAAGGACAUCACCCACAGAAGAAGCACCGGCUAACUCCGUGCCAGCAGCCGCGGUAAUACGGAGGGUGCGAGCGUUAAUCGGAAUUACUGGGCGUAAAGCGCGCGUAGGCGGUCUGAUAAGCCGGUUGUGAAAGCCCCGGGCUCAACCUGGGAACGGCAUCCGGAACUGUCAGGCUAGAGUGCAGGAGAGGAAGGUAGAAUUCCCUGUGUAGCGGUGAAAUGCGUAGAGAUCGGGAGGAAUACCAGUGGCGAAGGCGGCCUUCUGGACUGACACUGACGCUGAGGUGCGAAAGCGUGGGUAGCAAACAGGAUUAGAUACCCUAGUAGUC